GGCCCCGUAGCUCAACUGGAUAGAGCAGUGGACUUCUAAUCCACCGGUUGCAGGUUCGAGUCCUGCCGGGGUCACCA
RNAcentral lists this transfer RNA (77 nucleotides) under Rhodothalassiaceae bacterium. RNAcentral describes it as "tRNA-Arg". It matches the Rfam family "tRNA". Rfam says of the family: Transfer RNA (tRNA) molecules are approximately 80 nucleotides in length. Their secondary structure includes four short double-helical elements and three loops (D, anti-codon, and T loops). Further hydrogen bonds mediate the characteristic L-shaped molecular structure. tRNAs have two regions of fundamental functional importance: the anti-codon, which is responsible for specific mRNA codon recognition, and the 3' end, to which the tRNAs corresponding amino acid is attached (by aminoacyl-tRNA synthetases). tRNAs cope with the degeneracy of the genetic code in two manners: having more than one tRNA (with a specific anti-codon) for a particular amino acid; and 'wobble' base-pairing, i.e. permitting non-standard base-pairing at the 3rd anti-codon position. The record is from RNAcentral. Lineage: Bacteria; Pseudomonadati; Pseudomonadota; Alphaproteobacteria; Rhodothalassiales; Rhodothalassiaceae.